Molecule: long non-coding RNA, 335 nt
Organism: Erinaceus europaeus (western European hedgehog)
Lineage: Eukaryota; Metazoa; Chordata; Mammalia; Eulipotyphla; Erinaceidae
Exons: 3
Source: RefSeq, a predicted model, not a curated record
GGCGGGGUGUGCGGCGCAGGUGGCGGGGUGCCGGGUGCCGGGUGCGGCGCAGGCGACGCCUCGGUCCCCUGCCCGCGGGCCCCGCCCCGUUUCACACGCUCCGUGGGCGGGACCCUCCUCCUCGCCGCGCUACUGGCCAGACGCGGAUGAGCGGCAAGAGCCCGAACCAAUGAAGGCAAAGGGGCGUGGCCGCGCGCCGGGCUCGGCCUCCACGGCCCCCGAGCGAUUUUGAUUGGCAGGUGGCUUGGGGCCCCGCUCCCCGGCGUCUCCCUUUAGGCUCCGGGCGGAGAAAGCCCGCUCGCCGCGCCUCCCUCCGCACUCCCCGCCCACUUCCG